This 342-nucleotide unclassified non-coding RNA is filed under the name soil metagenome. RNAcentral describes it as "partial contains 5.8S ribosomal RNA, internal transcribed spacer 2, and large subunit ribosomal RNA". The stretch from base 1 to 120 matches the Rfam family "5.8S ribosomal RNA", at positions 35 to 154 of the family's 154-position model. The record is from RNAcentral.
GAUGAAGAACGCAGCGAAAUGCGAUAAGUAAUGUGAAUUGCAGAAUUCAGUGAAUCAUCGAAUCUUUGAACGCACAUUGCGCCCGCCAGCAGUCUGGCGGGCAUGCCUGUUCGAGCGUCAUUUCAACCAUCAAGCCCCCAGGGGCUUGUGCUGGGGCCCUGCGGCUGCCCGCAGGCCCUGAAAACCAGUGGCGGGCUCGCUAGUCACACCGAGCGCAGUAGCACAUCUCGCUCAGGGCGUGCGGCGGGCUCCUGCCGUGAAACCCCCCACUGUAACCCCAAAGGUUGACCUCGGAUCAGGUAGGAAUACCCGCUGAACUUAAGCAUAUCAAUAAGCGGAGGA